GACUGCACACUGUUGCCGGAUACUCUGGACUGCACACUGUUGCCGGAUACUCUGGACUACACACUGUUGCCGGAUACUCUGGACUGCACACUGUUGCCGGAUACUCUGGACUGCACACUAUUGCCGAACUCUCGAGGCUGGGCUGACGCACUGGAAGCCUGAUGCGUGGUACUGGUACUGGAUGUGCCAGUCUGGGGACAAGCACCUCAGGGCUAGUGCGGGGAGUGGGAACAGGCCAAGUCGGACUGGGUUGACGCACUAGAAGCCUGAUGCGUGGUGCUGGUACUGGAGGUAUCAGCCUGGGAACAUGCACCUCAGGGCUAGUGUGGGGAGCGGGAACAGGCCGAGUCGGACUGGGUUGACGCAAUGGAAGCCUGAUGCGUGGUGCUGGUACUGGAGGUAUCAGCCUGGGAACACGCACCUCGGGGAUAGUGCGGGGAGCGGGAACAGGCCGAGUCGGACUGGGUUGACGCACUGGAAGCCUGAUGCGUGGUGCUGGUACUGGAGGUAUCAGCCUGGGAACACGCACCUCAGGGCUAGUGCGGGGAGCGGGAACAGGACAAGUCGGACUGGGCUGACGCACUGGAAGCCUGAUGCGUGGUGCUGGUACUGGAGGUAUCAGCCUGGAAACACGCACCUCGGGGAUAGUGCGGGGAGCGGGAACAGGCCGAGUCGGACUGGGUUGACGCACUGGAAGCCUGAUGCGUGGUGCUGGUACUGGAGGUAUCAGCCUGGGAACACGCACCUCAGGGCUAGUGCGGGGAGCGGGAACAGGACAAGUCGGACUGGGCUGACGCACUGGAAGCCUGAUACGUGGUGCUGGUACUGGAGGUAUCAGCCUGGGGACACGCACCUCAGGGCUAGUGUGGGGAGCAGGAACAGGACAUACCGGACUGGGCUGACGCGCUGGAAGCCAGGUGCGUGGUGCUGGUACUGGACGUGCCAGACUAGGGGUUCGCACUUCAGGGCUAGUGCGGGGAGCGGGAACAGGACGAGUUGGACUGGGCUGACAAACUGGAGGCCUGGUGCGUGGUGCUGGUACUAUCUUCACCAGACAGCUAGCACGCACCUCAGGACUAGUAUAAAACGCUAACUCAGGUGAUAUCAUUAGGACACGCUCUGUAGGGCGAAUGUCGUGCCUAAUACACCAACACAGUAGCUCUCUCAUCCUUUUCUCCUCCAAUUUUCCCAUCAACUCCUUUAUACUCUGUUUCUCUCACCUCCAAUUUUACCCCGACUAGCUCUGGUUCCAUCCUCGGCUCCGCCGAUCUGUCCGUGUGCCCCCCCAAAAUAAAUUCUUGGGGUUGCCUCUCCGGUUUCCUCGCCAGUCGUGUACCCCGGUAGCGUUCCCGGUCCUCACCAGACUUCUUCCAUGGGCCCUCUCCGGCCAAAAUCUGCUCCCACGUCCAUUUCUCCCGCCAGUCCAUAUCGAAUUCCCCUUGCUCCUUACUCCGCUGCUUGGUCCAUUUGUGGUGGGAGAUUCUGUAACGGUUGUCGUCGGGGAUAGAGGACCAAAACGCAGCAGGAAUGUGGAUGCUCAUCUUGUAUUUAUUUUUAAAUCAAGAGAACACAAAAAUAACAAAACGAAGAACUCACAAACAACAAAACAGUCUUGUCAGGCUCAUACAGGCAAAACAAGAAACAAUCUCCCACAAACACUUAACCAAACACAUACCCAUAUAUAGGACUCUCAAUCAGAGGCAACUAGAAAACACCUGCCUCCAAUUGAGAGUCCAACCCCAAUAAACUAGACAUAGAAAUACAAAAGACUAGAGACCACAUAGAAAUACAAACCUAGAACAUAACCCCAAAAACCCGGAACUAACUAAACCAACACCCUACUAAAUAAAUCACCACCCCGAACCACAUAAAGAAAAUACCCUCUGCCACGUCCUGACCAAACUACAAUAACAAAUAACCCUUAUACUGGUCAGGACGUGACACAGUGUCUAUCGGACAGACGACUGAACCAGGUUUUACUCUAGCAUUUUGCCUGUGCUUAGCUGUAUUCCGUUUAUUUUUAUCCUAAAAAAACUCCCUAGUCCUUGUCGAUGGCAAGCAUACCCACAACAUGAUGCAGCCACCACCAUGAUGGGAAAUGAGAAGUUCCUUGAAAUUCACUGCUCGAUUGAAGGACCUUACAGAUAAUUGUAUGUGUUGGGAACAAAGAUGAGGUAGUCAUUCAAAAAUCAUGUUAACCACUAUUAUUGAACACAUAAUGAGUCUGUGCAACUUAUUAUGUGAUUUGUUAAGCACAUUUUUACUCCUGAACUUAUUUAGGCUUCCCAUAACAAAGGGAUUGAAUUCCUAUUGACUUAAGACAUUUUUGCUUGUCAUUAAACAUUUGUUUUUUAUGUUCAACUAACAAAAUUCCACUUUGACAUUAUGGGGCAUUGUGUGCCGAUCUGUAACACACCAUCUCAAUGUAAUAAAUGUUAAAUUCAGGCUGUAACACAACACUUAUGUGGAAAAAGUUAAGGGAUGUGAAUACUUUCUGAAGGCACUAUAUGCAUGAAGUGUUUCGACUGGGAAGCAUGUGACAGGCUUAAAACCUAUUAACCUGUUGGGGCUAGGGGGCAGUAUUUUCAUGGCUGGAUAAAAAAACGUACCCGAUUUAAUCUGGUUUCUAAUCCUACCCAGUAACUAGACUAUGCAUAUACUUAUUAUAUAUGGAUAGAAAACACCCUAAAGUUUCUAAAACUGUUUGAAUGGUGUCUGUGAGUAUAACAGAACUCAUUUGGCAGGCAAAAUCCUGAGACAUUUUCU
This 2766-nucleotide long non-coding RNA is filed under the name Salmo salar (Atlantic salmon). RNAcentral's name for it is "lncRNA (ENSSSAG00000102594.1)". The record is from RNAcentral. Lineage: Eukaryota; Metazoa; Chordata; Actinopteri; Salmoniformes; Salmonidae.